Molecule: ribosomal RNA, 459 nt
Filed under: uncultured bacterium
Lineage: Bacteria
Description: partial 16S ribosomal RNA
Rfam family: Bacterial small subunit ribosomal RNA
Source: RNAcentral
CCUACGUGUGGCAGCAGUGAGGAAUAUUGGUCAAUGGGCGCGAGCCUGAACCAGCCAAGUCGCGUGAGGGAAGACGGUCCUAUGGAUUGUAAACCUCUUUUGUCGGGGAGCAAAAGACGCCACGCGUGGCGUUCCGAGAGUACCCGAAGAAAAAGCAUCGGCUAACUCCGUGCCAGCAGCCGCGGUAAUACGGAGGAUGCGAGCGUUACCCGGAUUUAGUGGGUUUAAAGGGUGCGCAGGCGGAAGAGCAAGUCAGCGGUAAAAUUGAGAGGCUCAACCUCUUCGAGCCGUUGAAACUGGUUUUCUUGAGUGAGUGAGAAGUAUGCGGAAUGCGUGGUGUAGCGGUGAAAUGCAUAGAUAUCACGCAGAACUCCGAUUGCGAAGGCAGCAUACCGGCGCUCAACUGACGCUCAUGCACGAAAGUGUGGGUAUCGAACAGGAUUAGAUACCCCAGUAGUC